RNAcentral lists this ribosomal RNA (497 nucleotides) under uncultured bacterium. Its description in RNAcentral is "partial 16S ribosomal RNA". It matches the Rfam family "Bacterial small subunit ribosomal RNA", at positions 29 to 507 of the family's 1533-position model. The record is from RNAcentral.
AAUGAACGCUGGCGGUGUGCCUAACACAUGCAAGUCGAGCGAACGCACGAGGAGCUUUCGCCUUUGCCGUUGGCGACGGGCGGGCGAGUAACACGUAGAUCACCUACUUCUUUUUCUGGGGUAAUUUCGGGAGACCGGAUCUACUACUACAUCAUAUAUCGUACGGGAGAGAUCAAUAGUGCUAGACGCUUUUGGUGUCAGUUAUAGCCGAUUCCGGGCCGCAUUAGCUAGUUGGUAAGGUAACGGCUUACCAAGGCAACGAUGCGUAGCUGACCUGAGAGGAUGAUCGGCCACACUGGAACUGAGACACGGUCCAGACUCCUACGGGAGGCAGCAGUAGGGAAUCUUCCACAAUGGGCGAAAGCCUGACGGAGCAACGCCGCGUGAGUGAUGAAGGUCUUCGGAUCGUAAAGCUCUGUUAUUAGGGAAGAACAAAUGUGUAUGUAACCAUGCACGUCUUGACGGUACCCAAUCAGAAAGCCACGGCUAACUACGUG